This 253-nucleotide ribosomal RNA is filed under the name uncultured bacterium. Its description in RNAcentral is "partial 16S ribosomal RNA". It matches the Rfam family "Bacterial small subunit ribosomal RNA", at positions 524 to 776 of the family's 1533-position model. The record is from RNAcentral.
UACGUAGGGGGCGAGCGUUGUCCGGAUUUAUUGGGCGUAAAGAGCGUGUAGGCGGUCAGGUAGGUCUGGUGUGAAAACUCGAGGCUUAACCUCGAGAUGUCAUCGGAAACCAUUUGGCUAGAGUCCGGAAGAGGAGAGUGGAAUUCCUGGUGUAGCGGUGAAAUGCGCAGAUAUCAGGAAGAACACCCGUGGCGAAGGCGGCUCUCUGGUACGGUACUGACGCUGAGACGCGAAAGCGUGGGGAGCAAACAGG